RNAcentral lists this microRNA precursor (83 nucleotides) under Myotis lucifugus (little brown bat). RNAcentral's name for it is "miRNA (ENSMLUG00000020271.2)". The record is from RNAcentral. Lineage: Eukaryota; Metazoa; Chordata; Mammalia; Chiroptera; Vespertilionidae.
AACUGCGUGGGAGUGUGUGUGUGUGUGUGUGUGUGUGUGUGUGUGUGUGUGUAGGCAGGUGACAGGCACACCCCCAACAGCCC